CAGUCGCCGCGGGAAUACGAAGGGGGCUAGCGUUGUUCGGAAUUACUGGGCGUAAAGCGCACGUAGGCGGCUUUGUAAGUUAGAGGUGAAAGCCUGGGGCUCAACUCCAGAAUUGCCUUCAAGACUGCAUCGCUUGAACGUCGGAGAGGUGAGUGGAAUUCCGAGUGUAGAGGUGAAAUUCGUAGAUAUUCGGAAGAACACCAGUGGCGAAGGCGGCUCACUGGACGACUGUUGACGCUGAGGUGCGAAAGCGUGGGGAGCAAACAGGAUUAGAUACCCCUGUAGUCCCUGUCUCUUAUAA
Molecule: ribosomal RNA, 301 nt
Filed under: uncultured bacterium
Lineage: Bacteria
Description: partial 16S ribosomal RNA
Rfam family: Bacterial small subunit ribosomal RNA
Source: RNAcentral